GAUGGGGGGAGAGGCCGAACAGCACCCACAUGCACCUCCACAGUCUUGUUAGGGACAGGAGGAGAACCUCACCCUAACAUGAGCAAAGUCGAAGGCCCGGUUCCUCUUAGAUCAGAUAGGGGGAGAGGCCGAACAGCGCCCACAUGCACCCCCACAGCCUUGUUAGGGACAGGAGGAGAACCUCGCCCUAACAUGAGCAAAGUCGAAGGCC
This 211-nucleotide long non-coding RNA is filed under the name Elaeis guineensis (African oil palm). Its description in RNAcentral is "long non-coding RNA (EGUI_LNC062772)". The record is from RNAcentral. Lineage: Eukaryota; Viridiplantae; Streptophyta; Magnoliopsida; Arecales; Arecaceae.